RNAcentral lists this ribosomal RNA (1887 nucleotides) under Triticum aestivum (bread wheat). Its description in RNAcentral is "partial small subunit ribosomal RNA". Lineage: Eukaryota; Viridiplantae; Streptophyta; Magnoliopsida; Poales; Poaceae. The record is from RNAcentral.
AUGGCAAUCGUUGCUGCAUCCGUCUGGGCUGUAGCCGUGGUUGGCUGGUUGGUGUCGCCCAUCAUCACCUUGCUCCUACGCAAGAUGCUCUCCCGCCUCGGCUUCGACGCGUCCCACAAGCUCCUGGAGCUGGAGAUCCGCAUCGUCCCUGAGCUCAAGGAGACGAGGCGUGCCUUAUGUCAACAGUCGAUCCUUGCCGCCAAGCAAGAGACAGCGACGCAUAUAAAAUUUAAAAAGAAAUUCGGGCCGGUCGUGCUCCAGAAGAUGGUUCAGUUUGGCAGGAUGGAGGCCAUGCUGGUUCACGCUCUGGAGGAUGCGGAAGACAUCUUCCAUAAUCAGCAGGAGAUCAAGCUGUACCGCAGCAGGUGUUGGCACGGCCUCUACCGUGUCUCCGCCAGCUGCAUUGCUCGCUUCAAAAGCAGGUGCCUGUGGAUCGCACGCAUCAUCGUGAGCGGAUCAGCUCAACUAUUGCAUCGGGCGUGGAAGAUCUCCUUGGGUAGGUCAGAGGAUGUACCUCCGGUCACUACCUGUUCUGCGGUCUCAGAUGGACCAGUUGGUGCCGCCGCAGCAGAAUUAACAGUUCUGGUGAUUGCACCCUCAGAUUCCUUGUGGUGGUGGUGGUCAUCUUGUUGGUGCAGCUCCUUCAGGAACUGUUGUAUGUCCAUAUUCUACUGGUUAGUUCAUGCAACUGAGGCCGCCCACACUUACCGGAACUGGUCCUAUGACGUAGUUGGUAUCACAGGUUACCAGGAGAAUGCCUCUAUGUUAGAUAUUUUGCUUAUUACUAUCUCAAGACGAAAUUUGAAGAAAAGAAUAGAGAAAAUAGAAAGCACCGUCAGUGACGUGAAGGAGUCACUCCUAGUCCUAAGUGUAGCAAGGAAGCGCGCAUCACAAUUUCUUGCUGACUGUAAUGACAAUGCAUCAGAAGAAGACACUAAUGAAUAUGAUGGGAAUGCAUCAGAAGAAGACACUAAUGAAUAUGACGGGAAUGCAUCAGAAGAAGACUCCAAUGAAUAUGAUGGGAAUGCAUCAGAAGAAGACUCCAAUGAAUAUGAUGGGAGUGCAUCAGAGGAAAACUCCAAUGAAUCUGAUGGGAAUGCAUCAGAAGGAGACUCUAACGAAUCUGAUGGGACUGCAUCAGAAGAACACUCUAAUCAAUCUGGUGCAUCACAAGACUCACUCACACUAGACUUAAGUGCAGGAGGGUAUAAGUUAAAGCAGCUAAGGGACAUAAGCAAGUUGCAUUUCAAUCUGGAGAUCUAUGGCCUUGAAAAAGUUAAAAGCACGGAUGAAGCUCUUGAAGUCAAUCUAGCUGCCAAGUUUGAGGUCAUUAAACUGACAUUGGAUUGGGGUGAUGCUGAUGAUGGUACAAGGUGCAGUCCAGAAGUUGAAGCAGAGAUACUUGAGGUCCUAUGCCCUCCCGUGCGGCUUUUAACUCUGUACAUUGGUGGCUACAAAGGUUCGAGGUACCCAGAUUGGAUGGUGAGCAAGCAGAACGGUAGCACAAAGGACCUGGUAGAACUUGUAUUAGGUGGAUGGAGUCAACUGGGACCUGGUCCUGAACUUGUGGCUUUCCCUCAUCUUUGUAGCCUAGAGCUUGUGUCUUGCAGCUGGAAUGCCUUGCCUGACAAUAUGGAGCGCCUCACAUCACUCAAGAGACUGGAGAUCGUAUAUUGCGACAAUAUCCGGUCGCUUCCAACACUUCCCCAGUCUCUUGUGAAGUUUAUUCUUAUUGAUUGCGAUUAUGAGUUUAUGGAGUUCUGUCAAACAGUUGGGCAUCCAUAUUGGCAAAAGAUUGAGCACAUCCCAGAGAAAAUAUUUAAUGUCAAUUUCAACCCAUUCCCAGACUCUGAUGACUCUCAAGAGACUAAUGCUUCGCCGUCGUGA